CGCGCUGAAGGACUGGUAACCGUCUGUUCUGGGAGCACGAAACUAGUAUGCUGACUGUGGAGCAGAAGGCAUGGAUUAAGCAGUCCUCCUUAGCGAGAUUGCUUUGCAAUAACUUGCCUGUUGAGAAUGUACCUACCAAUGCUUUCCUGCCUGUGUCAGAAACAAAUCCACUGCUGUCUUGCUCUGAAUUGCCAGCACUUACAAUCGAGGCCUGGAAGGACACAGCGCUAAUAGAAAAGAUGAAGCAACUGAAAGAAGGCAAAGCUGCAGAGGGAAGCGAGGCCAAGGAAAGUACUUCGAGGGGUUCGGAACUGUAGUCGAACUAGUUAUUUUAUGCGCUCUCAAAAAAAGACCAAACCAAGUGUAGGUGUCUUGUUCUUACUCCACAAAGGGAAUAGGCAUUUGAUGAAGUCACAAAAGGAUGAGAUUUUUGUUUGAAAUUUCUAAGAAGUUUGUAUGUUUGUGAAUAUUAUAAUAAUAAUUUUACAAUGUGCAGUAUAGAACAUGUGCUAAUACUACUGUGCAACAUGUAUUAAAACUGGGCCUUAUAGAACCUAGUGUUCUCUAUACCUCGUAUGUAAUACUUUGUCAUGUAAUAUAUUUUAUGUUCAUUUAUGUGUUGAAUAUUUGUUCAAACUUCAGCGAUAUUACAUGUUACAUCCUCAAAUAUCUUGAGUGACCGAUAUUUUUUACAUUAAUAUUAAAGUGUUAUGUUGUCCAUGUCAGUUAUAAUAAAUUGUUACUUUACGA
Molecule: long non-coding RNA, 750 nt
Organism: Macrobrachium nipponense
Lineage: Eukaryota; Metazoa; Arthropoda; Malacostraca; Decapoda; Palaemonidae
Exons: 2
Source: RefSeq, a predicted model, not a curated record